RNAcentral lists this ribosomal RNA (110 nucleotides) under uncultured bacterium. Its description in RNAcentral is "partial 16S ribosomal RNA". It matches the Rfam family "Bacterial small subunit ribosomal RNA", at positions 1373 to 1482 of the family's 1533-position model. The record is from RNAcentral.
CCCGGGCCUUGUACACACCGCCCGUCACGUCAUGAAAGUCGGUAACACCCGAAGCCAGUAGCCUAACCUUUUGGAGGGAGCUGUCGAAGGUGGGAUCGGCGAUUGGGACG